This is a non-coding RNA of Dermacentor andersoni, 270 nucleotides long. The record is from RefSeq and is a predicted model, not a curated record. NCBI's taxonomy places the organism in Eukaryota, Metazoa, Arthropoda, Arachnida, Ixodida, Ixodidae.
CCGGCUGCGCAUGUGAAGCUCGUGUGCUCGGCCACCCGUCUCUUUUGGAUGUAGAUCGUUUUUUUUUGGGCUCCUAGCGUUCUUUUGUGUUCCGUCUGCAUUUCGACAUGGCACAGCUGCAUUACUGGACUACAGCAAGCUGAUGGCAUCCGGUGGAGCAUCGUACGGCGACGAAUGCUGCUUACCUGGUGCCACAACUUUGGAUGAAUGCAGAAGAAGCCCGGAACGAGCAUUUAUAUAGAGCAAAAUAAACAUUUCAUCAUUUCAGAA